Cervus elaphus (red deer) is the source of this 915-nucleotide long non-coding RNA. RefSeq lists it as uncharacterized. Lineage: Eukaryota; Metazoa; Chordata; Mammalia; Artiodactyla; Cervidae. The transcript is spliced from 4 exons. The record is from RefSeq and is a predicted model, not a curated record.
CCUGAGAAGCUCAGACACCUGAAAACUAUCUUCACAUCAGGAGAAUCAAGUCACAUUGCCAGGAUGCAGCAAAGUGUGUUCUUCUUGAAGAGUGUCAGUCACUUUCGUCUUAAAAGAUGCAGACAAGCACUUAAAGGCUGUCAAUCAUUUCCCUUGAGGGGAGACAAGAAACUUUUAACAUAUGAAUUGCCAAUAUUUUUCCACAGUAAGAUCCCAGUGACCAGUAGGCACUUUGAACUUUAAAGGAGGGAGUCCUUCCUCUCAGGUGAGAAGAACUGUGGUCUCAAGAAGGCAAAAGUAUCAGAACAGUUAACCAUCAGAAGACUGCACAACCUAUGCACAAUCAUUUGCUACACCUUCAGUUUAUAGAGUUCAGCAGAAGUGGAUGUUUGCUCAGUCUUAGGAAACAUCCUGACCAGGCCCCCUUGUGAAUGACUGCAGGGAGGAAGAAAUUAACACAUCCCCUCCUGAGGUUGACCAGAAGGAGGAAAUAUUUAACUUGACUCCCUCCCCUCUAGUGUAAAAGAAGCCUGAAUUCUAACUCAGACAAGUUGGUUCUUUGGGAUGCAAGUUCACCAUCUUCUCAGUCUGCUGGCCUUCUGAAUAAAGUCUCUAUUCCUUGCGCAGACAACUCGUCUCUCGAUUUAUUGGCCUGUCUUGCAGCGAGCAGUACGAGGCGAGCGUACACUCGGUAAUGAAUUUCCACGCAGCCAGCCAGGAGCCUUGCUGCCCGUGGCCCGCAGCCCCGUUUGGGGAGUUUUCAGGUGAGGCCCUAGCAGCUGCCCAUCGCUUGUCUUGCGGGUCUUCCCUUCAGAGUUCCCCAAAGCGGCACCAGCUGGCAGUGCUUGGCAGUUGGAGCAAGGAAUGGACAUUCGGGAGGUGACCAGGCUCCGAGAGUGCAUACAGACGGACAAG